This is an RNA transcript of Sapajus apella (tufted capuchin), 1407 nucleotides long. It is a transcript of the gene named nucleotide triphosphate diphosphatase NUDT15 pseudogene, with no coding region annotated. The record is from RefSeq and is a predicted model, not a curated record. The transcript is spliced from 3 exons. Lineage: Eukaryota; Metazoa; Chordata; Mammalia; Primates; Cebidae.
AUGGCGCCGCCUAGCGGGCGGGCGGAGAGGAAAAGAGGCGGUGCCCCGCAGGGGGAGCCCAAGCGUGCUAGCAGGGCAGGAGGGCAGACCUGCCAGGGCCGGAGAAAACGGUCCUUCCCACGCGCGCGUUUCAUCUUGGGACAGCGCUGGACGCGUGAGCCAUCGCACCCGGUCCGUUCACUAAACUUUAGUGUUAAUCAAAUUAAAACAUAUUUUUUGGUCCUCCCUCGGACUGUGACACCCAGCACGGAGCCGCAGGGGUGGCGGUCCGGAGUCGGAGUCGUGGUGACCAGCUGCAAGUAUUCGCGUUGCGUCCUCCUGGAGAAGAGGAAAGGGUCUUUCGGAGCUGGCAGUUUCCAGCUCCCUGGGGGUCAUUUGGAGUUUGGUGAGAGCUGGGAAGAAUGUGCUCGAAGGGAAACGUGGGAAGAAGCUCUUCACCUGAUACAUGUUCGCUUUGCCUCAGUUGUAACUUCUCUCAUUGGGAAGGAAAAUUACCAUUAUGUUACUAUAUUAAUGAAAGGAGAAGUAGACGUGACUCAUGAUUCAGAACCAGAGAGUGUAGAGCCUGAAAAAAAUGAAAGUUGGAAGGAGGUUCCCUGGGAAGAAUUUCCUCCACUAGACCAGCUUUUCUGGGCCCUGUGUUCUUUGAAAGAACAAGGCUAUGAUCCAUUUAAAGAAGAUCUGAACCAUCUGGUAGGAUGCAAAGGAAAUCAUCUCUAGGGGGCUGAGAAGAUUUCUUGAUUUUCUUUAAAAGACAAAAAUAAGGUCGGGUUAGAGAAUGAAAAAUAUCUGCAUUUCGGAACAACUCCAUUUUAUCUAUAAAAGUUCUUGUGAUCACCAGUUUAUUUCCAGUCUCUUGAUGUACCCACCACCCCUUCAGCCAGUACUUGAGAAUAUUUUUUUGAAAUAUGUAAUUGAAUUGUAUUUCAGACACAGAAUAUAUGAUAAAUAAUAUGUUAUUUAUGGGUAAUCUGCUUUCCAUGUUUAUCUAUGACAUUUACUGUGCAGUUUGUCAUUACUAGCUUGCAUGGAAUAGGAUGCUAUCGAAUUUGCCUUAGUGUUCUGUUCAAAUAGAAAUCCAAAUUCAAAUAUUGUAGUUUAGAUUCAAACACAGUCUGCCUGUUGCAAAAUUUACCAAGUUUGUUGAUGUACCUCUUUUAUUUAAAAAAAUUGGGUGGGGGGUAAUAUAUUAUGACAGUCUUUGCAACUUACAGGGAAUAGGACAGGCCAUUGGGGUGUAUUUCCCAAGUUUCCAAUUGAGAACCUAAACCAAGAGAAGUGACAUAAACCAUCUAAUAUCCUACCAUUAGCAGGCUGUGAGAGUGAUUUCUCACUUACUCUCUGUCGCCAGGCUGGAGUGCAGUGGCCCAGUCUUGGCUUACUGCAACCUCUGCCUCACAGCCUAAU